CUUUUCCACACAAUACAAGAGAAGGGAACACUUUCCAGUUAAUUUUAUGAAGCUAGUAUUAUCCUGAUACCAAAAUCAGACAAAGAUAAUACCCUUCAAAAAAAAAGAAAGACCAGUAUCCCUCAUGAAUAAAAAGUUAAAAAUCCUUAACAAAAUAUUAAUAAAUAUAAUUCAGCAACAUACAAAAAUAACUACACAUCAUGACCAAGUGGGGUUUAUUCAGGGAAACAAGGACAAUUCAAUAUUCUAAAAUCAACAAACAUAAUUACCAUAUUAACAGGAUACAAAAAAAUGAUCAUAUCAAUUGAUUCAGAAAAAAAUAUGACAAAAUUUGACACCCAUUUAUGAUAAAAAAAAAACCUCCCAGCAAACUGUGAAUAAAGGGAAAUGUUUCAACAUUAAAGAACGUCUACCAAAAAAAACCCCUACAAUUUACAUUAUUUUUGAUGGUGACAAUGGCUGAAUGUUUUUUACCUAAUAUCAUUAAGGCAAAGAUGUUCACUCCCACAACUCUUAUUCAGCAUAAUGAUGUCAGUUCUAGCCAGCACUAUAAGGCAAGAAAAGUAAGUAAAAACUGUACAAAUCAAAAAAAAAAAGGAAAUAAAACUGUUCCUAUUUGCAGAUGAUGUAACUGACUACAGAAAAAAUCCCAAGGGGUUAACAACCACAACAAAAAAUCCUAGGACUAAUAAGUAAAUACAGUAGGAUCACAAGAUACAAGAUAAAUGCAAAAACAUAUAUUGCAUUUCUAUAUAUUAACAGUGGAAAUGUUGACAACAAUGUUUAAGGGAAAAGAGGACUAAUUUUAGGAAUAAAAAAUAUUUCAAAGCAUAUGAUUUCAGACUGAAAAUAAAUACACUAUGAGAAACUCAUGUUUUUUUGUGUGUAUAUGCUUUGGUAAUCACUGUGCUAAAGGGCACAUACACAGCCAAGUCUAAAACUUUCUGAAUUGUGUAACAGAAAGACUACUUUUGAAAAACAAAAUUCACAAAAUAUGACAGAUUCUGUAUAGUCUUCUAUACAAUAACUAACCUCUGAUGAGACAGGUGCAUUAGUUAAGCUUCUACCAGAGAAACAAAACCAGUGGGAGAUAUAUGUUACAGUAUUCAUUGCAAGGAAUUGGCAUAUGCCAUUCUGGAGACUUGCUAGGCAAAUCUAAAGUCCAUUAGGAUAGGCCAUCAGAAAGGGUAGGUUGGAACUCUCAGACACAAGUUGAAGUUACAGUCCACAGGCAAAAUUUUUUCAGCUAGACAACCUCAGUUCUACUCAUUUAGAUGAUUGAAUGAGGCCCACCCAAAUUAUCAUCUAGGAUAUUAUUCUUUACUUAAAGCCAACUGAUUAUGAAUGUUAAACAUAUUUAUAAAAUACUUUCACAGCAACACUUAGAUUAGUAUUAAAUCAAAUAAUUGGGGACAAUAUUCUACCCAAGUUGACACAUAGAAUUAGAACAGACUAUUACAAAAGGUAAGACUAUUGUGUGUUUUGAAGGGUAUACAUUAUGGCUCAGGGUAAGGAAUUUGAAAUCACAACCAAUGCUAAAAACUCAUUUCUCAUAGUUGGUGCAGUCAAUUUAUAAUCUGAAAGCUACAGAGCACCGCAAGAGAGAAUAGAGGAAUGUAAAGGACAUGGUCAAUGAGAAUGCUAAUGUGAUAUUGUUGAUGUAAAAGGGGCAACCUGGGACCUGGAUUUUUAAAGCAGAAAGUAGCUAUGAGAGAUAAUUUAUUUGGUCAGUACUCCUUGGAUGUGAUGAAUACAUCUCUACCAGUCCUUUCUCAAGGUCAACAUACCCUAGGGAGACAUUACAGUCUCACAAGUGACCAUGACUUACAAUCAGCACAAUGAGAUUAUGCAACAGAGAAUGAGGCUAAAGAGGUAGCCAGCAUCCAAAGUCUGCAUGGUUUUGGUUUCACAAUGGAGAAACUAAGCUUAAUUUUGUAAGUGAACAGGAAGUCAACGAGUGUUUUAAUCUAGGGAGAGAUAUGAUCAGAUGUUGUGGAAUACGAUGUUAGAGAAAAUCUUGCACUGAGUGCUUCAUCAACAAUAAUCACCACUUUCUUUUUUUUCUAGGUUUUUUUUUUUUUUUUUAUUCUACAGUCAAGAACACUCAUUAUUUUGGACAUUUCACAGAGGUGAAGAAGGUGCUGUUCUGGCUUAUGAGAAACACUAGGCCAGCGCGGUGGCUCACGCCUAUAAUCCCAGCACUUUGGGAGGCCGAGACCUGUACGACUAUGAAAGUUCUGAUCAGCUUCUCAGUCUCAUGCCUGCUACAUGUGAACUGACACAAGAUGUUUGCCAUGGCUCCUAAAAUCACGACAAAAGCAUGAAGGAAUCAUGACAUUGUCGCUCUCUUUUAAUCACAGAGGAAAAUCUUUUCAGAAAUCCUCCAGAAACUUUAUCUCAUGCCUUACCGGCCAGGUCUGAGUCAUAGAUCAGCUUGCUGAAGCUGAGUCUGGGACAGUAUCUGUGAAGUCCAGCCUCCAUAGUGGGAGAUGGGCUGUGUCAGUAAAAAAGAAGUAGGUAGCUCCCAGCACUUUGAGAGACUGAGGUGGGCGGAUCACUUGAGGACAGGAGUUUGAAAACAGCCUGGCCAACUUGGUGAAACCCCAUCUCUACUAAAAAUAUAAAAAUUAGCCAGGCCUGAUGGCACAUGCCUGUAAUCUCAGCUACUUGGGAGGCUAAGGCAAGAGAAUAGCUUGCACCUAGGAGAUGGAGGUUGCAGUGAGUCGAGAUCACGCCACUACACUCCAGCCUGGGUGACAGAGCGAGACUCCAUCUCAAGAAAGAAGAAGAAGAAGAAAGAAGGAGGAGGAGGAGGAGGAGGAAGGGGAAGGGGAAGAAGAAGAAGGUGGCUGCAAAGAAGAAGAAUGUCUGGUUUCAGGCAAAUACUAGUAUAUUCCCCAGCUACUAUUUUUUUUACAUGAUAAAGUCUAAACCUCUUA
Callithrix jacchus (white-tufted-ear marmoset) is the source of this 2939-nucleotide non-coding RNA. NCBI's taxonomy places the organism in Eukaryota, Metazoa, Chordata, Mammalia, Primates, Cebidae. The record is from RefSeq and is a predicted model, not a curated record.